GAUGAACGCUGGCGGCGUGCCUAAUACAUGCAAGUCGAGCGAACGGACGAGAAGCUUGCUUCUCUGAUGUUAGCGGCGGACGGGUGAGUAACACGUGGAUAACCUACCUAUAAGACUGGGAUAACUUCGGGGAACCGGAGCUAAUACCGGAUGAUAUUUUGAACCGCAUGGUUCAAAAGUGAAAGACGGUCUUGCUGUCACUUAUAGAUGGAUCCGCGCUGCAUUAGCUAGUUGGUAAGGUAACGGCUUACCAAGGCAACGAUGCAUAGCCGACCUGAGAGGGUGAUCGGCCACACUGGAACUGAGACACGGUCCAGACUCCUAAGGGAGGCAGCAGUAGGGAAUCUUCCGCAAUGGGCGAAAGCCUGACGGAGCAACGCCGCGUGAGUGAUGAAGGUCUUCGGAUCGUAAAACUCUGUUAUUAGGGAAGAACAUAUGUGUAAGUAACUGUGCACAUCUUGACGGUACCUAAUCAGAAAGCCACGGCUAACUACGUG
RNAcentral lists this ribosomal RNA (497 nucleotides) under uncultured bacterium. Its description in RNAcentral is "partial 16S ribosomal RNA". It matches the Rfam family "Bacterial small subunit ribosomal RNA", at positions 28 to 507 of the family's 1533-position model. The record is from RNAcentral.